Molecule: long non-coding RNA, 616 nt
Organism: Suricata suricatta (meerkat)
Lineage: Eukaryota; Metazoa; Chordata; Mammalia; Carnivora; Herpestidae
Exons: 2
Source: RefSeq, a predicted model, not a curated record
AAAGAAAGCAAUACAUGCUUAUUAUAGAAAUUUGGGGGAAUACAAAGGAGAAGAAAAUCAUUCAUCCAGAAUCUCAUCUAACCCAAGAUAAUGACUACUAAGCACCUCGACGACAGGCACACAUGUGCCCAUGUGCUCCCUGGGUAUACACCACAGCCACAGAAGGCACGACCCGUUCAGAAGCCUGAGCACCUGAACAGCAGGCCUGACCAGCAGAUGCCACCUCUCUUCCCACCCCACCCCUGCAGGAAAGGACCACAAGGUUCUGGGAGGCAGCCCAGCUGACAAGGCUGAGUGACGGUGGUCAGUUCAUUGUGCCUCCCUUGCUGGCCCCAAACUCCUCACUCCCACCACGUGAGGUAAUGACCUGUGUGCUUCACCCACGCCGCUCGGCCUGGCCGAGGCCCUAGCAUCCUGGCUGGGGCAUCCAUGGGCCACCUCACCCAGACUUUCUCCCUGCCUGUCUCAUUUCUACCUCUGCAGUUUGACUGCCUCACUGCUGCCAUAACAGUUCCUCAGAUAUUUUUUUAAAUAAAUGAUCUUUUUGCCAUUGUACCCAAAAAACCCCAACCAAAGCAAUGCUUCCAAAAAUAAACCUGAGAGCCAAUCUGGUAAA